AGCGUACACGGUGGAUGCCCUGGCAGUCAGAGGCGAUGAAGGACGUGCUAAUCUGCGAAAAGCGUCGGUAAGGUGAUAUGAACCGUUAUAACCGGCGAUGUCCGAAUGGGGAAACCCAGUGCAAUUCGUUGCACUAUCGUUAACUGAAUACAUAGGUUAACGAGGCGAACCGGGGGAACUGAAACAUCUAAGUACCCCGAGGAAAAGAAAUCAACCGAGAUUCCCCCAGUAGCGGCGAGCGAACGGGGAGCAGCCCAGAGUCUGAAUCAGCUUGUGUGUUAGUGGAACGGUCUGGAAAGUCCGACGGUACAGGGUGAUAGUCCCGUACACCAAAAUGCACAGGUUGUGAACUCGAAGAGUAGGGCGGGACACGUGGUAUCCUGUCUGAAUAUGGGGGGACCAUCCUCCAAGGCUAAAUACUCCUGACUGACCGAUAGUGAACCAGUACCGUGAGGGAAAGGCGAAAAGAACCCCGGCGAGGGGAGUGAAAAAGAACCUGAAACCGUGUACGUACAAGCAGUGGGAGCACCUUCGGGUGUGACUGCGUACCUUUUGUAUAAUGGGUCAGCGACUUAUAUUCUGUAGCAAGGUUAACCGUAUAGGGGAGCCGCAGGGAAACCGAGUCUUAACUGGGCGUUAAGUUGCAGGGUAUAGACCCGAAACCCGGUGAUCUAGCCAUGGGCAGGUUGAAGGUUGGGUAACACUAACUGGAGGACCGAACCGACUAAUGUUGAAAAAUUAGCGGAUGACUUGUGGCUGGGGGUGAAAGGCCAAUCAAACCGGGAGAUAGCUGGUUCUCCCCGAAAGCUAUUUAGGUAGCGCCUCGUGAACUCAUCUUCGGGGGUAGAGCACUGUUUCGGCUAGGGGGUCAUCCCGACUUACCAACCCGAUGCAAACUACGAAUACCGAAGAAUGUUAUCACGGGAGACACACGGCGGGUGCUAACGUCCGUCGUGAAGAGGGAAACAACCCAGACCGCCAGCUAAGGUCCCAAAGUCAUGGUUAAGUGGGAAACGAUGUGGGAAGGCACAGACAGCCAGGAUGUUGGCUUAGAAGCAGCCAUCAUUUAAAGAAAGCGUAAUAGCUCACUGGUCGAGUCGGCCUGCGCGGAAGAUGUAACGGGGCUAAACCAUGCACCGAAGCUGCGGCAGCGACACUAUGUGUUGUUGGGUAGGGGAGCGUUCUGUAAGCCUGCGAAGGUGUGCUGUGAGGCAUGCUGGAGGUAUCAGAAGUGCGAAUGCUGACAUAAGUAACGAUAAAGCGGGUGAAAAGCCCGCUCGCCGGAAGACCAAGGGUUCCUGUCCAACGUUAAUCGGGGCAGGGUGAGUCGACCCCUAAGGCGAGGCCGAAAGGCGUAGUCGAUGGGAAACAGGUUAAUAUUCCUGUACUUGGUGUUACUGCGAAGGGGGGACGGAGAAGGCUAUGUUAGCCGGGCGACGGUUGUCCCGGUUUAAGCAUGUAGGCUGRUURUCCAGGCAAAUCCGGAUAAUCAAGGCUGAGGUGUGAUGACGAGGCACUACGGUGCUGAAGUAACAAAUGCCCUGCUUCCAGGAAAAGCCUCUAAGCAUCAGGUAACAUYAAAUCGUACCCCAAACCGACACAGGUGGUCAGGUAGAGAAUACCAAGGCGCUUGAGAGAACUCGGGUGAAGGAACUAGGCAAAAUGGUGCCGUAACUUCGGGAGAAGGCACGCUGGUGUGUAGGUGAAGUCCCUGCGGAUGGAGCUGAGACCAGUCGAAGAUACCAGCUGGCUGCAACUGUUUAUUAAAAACACAGCACUGUGCAAACACGAAAGUGGACGUAUACGGUGUGACGCCUGCCCGGUGCCGGAAGGUUAAUUGAUGGGGUUAUCCGUAAGGAGAAGCUCUUGAUCGAAGCCCCGGUAAACGGCGGCCGUAACUAUAACGGUCCUAAGGUAGCGAAAUUCCUUGUCGGGUAAGUUCCGACCUGCACGAAUGGCGUAAUGAUGGCCAGGCUGUCUCCACCCGAGACUCAGUGAAAUUGAACUCGCUGUGAAGAUGCAGUGUACCCGCGGCAAGACGGAAAGACCCCGUGAACCUUUACUAUAGCUUGACACUGAACAUUGAGCCUUGAUGUGUAGGAUAGGUGGGAGGCUUUGAAGCGUGGACGCCAGUCUGCGUGGAGCCAACCUUGAAAUACCACCCUUUAAUGUUUGAUGUUCUAACGUUGGCCCCUGACCGGGGUUGCGGACAGUGUCUGGUGGGUAGUUUGACUGGGGCGGUCUCCUCCCAAAGCGUAACGGAGGAGCACGAAGGUUAGCUAAUCCUGGUCGGACAUCAGGAGGUUAGUGCAAUGGCAUAAGCUAGCUUGACUGCGAGCGUGACGGCGCGAGCAGGUGCGAAAGCAGGUCAUAGUGAUCCGGUGGUUCUGAAUGGAAGGGCCAUCGCUCAACGGAUAAAAGGUACUCCGGGGAUAACAGGCUGAUACCGCCCAAGAGUUCAUAUCGACGGCGGUGUUUGGCACCUCGAUGUCGGCUCAUCACAUCCUGGGGCUGAAGUAGGUCCCAAGGGUAUGGCUGUUCGCCAUUUAAAGUGGUACGCGAGCUGGGUUUAGAACGUCGUGAGACAGUUCGGUCCCUAUCUGCCGUGGGCGCUGGAGAAUUGAGGGGGGCUGCUCCUAGUACGAGAGGACCGGAGUGGACGCAUCACUGGUGUUCGGGUUGUCAUGCCAAUGGCACUGCCCGGUAGCUAAAUGCGGAAGAGAUAAGUGCUGAAAGCAUCUAAGCACGAAACUUGCCCCGAGAUGAGUUCU
This 2771-nucleotide ribosomal RNA is filed under the name Klebsiella pneumoniae. RNAcentral describes it as "bacterial LSU rRNA". The record is from RNAcentral. Lineage: Bacteria; Pseudomonadati; Pseudomonadota; Gammaproteobacteria; Enterobacterales; Enterobacteriaceae.